AAGCGUGCGCAGGCGGUUAUGUAAGACAAGAUGUGAAAUCCCCGGGCUCAACCUGGGAACUGCAUUAGUGACUGCAUAGCUGGAGUACGGCAGAGGGGGAUGGAAUUCCGCGUGUAGCAGUGAAAUGCGUAGAUAUGCGGAGGAACACCGAUGGCGAAGGCAAUCCCCUGGGCCUGUACUGACGCUCAUGCACGAAAGCGUGGGGAGCAAACAGGAUUAGAUACCCGGGU
RNAcentral lists this ribosomal RNA (230 nucleotides) under uncultured bacterium. RNAcentral's name for it is "partial 16S ribosomal RNA". It matches the Rfam family "Bacterial small subunit ribosomal RNA", at positions 563 to 791 of the family's 1533-position model. The record is from RNAcentral.